This 497-nucleotide ribosomal RNA is filed under the name uncultured bacterium. RNAcentral describes it as "partial 16S ribosomal RNA". It matches the Rfam family "Bacterial small subunit ribosomal RNA", at positions 28 to 507 of the family's 1533-position model. The record is from RNAcentral.
GAUGAACGCUGGCGGCGUGCCUAAUACAUGCAAGUCGAGCGAACAGAUGAGGAGCUUGCUCCUCUGACGUUAGCGGCGGACGGGUGAGUAACACGUGGAUAACCUACCUAUAAGACUGGGAUAACUUCGGGAAACCGGAGCUAAUACCGGAUAAUAUAUUGAACCGCAUGGUUCAAUAGUGAAAGACGGUUUUGCUGUCACUUAUAGAUGGAUCCGCGCCGCAUUAGCUAGUUGGUAAGGUAACGGCUUACCAAGGCAGCGAUGCGUAGCCGACCUGAGAGGGUGAUCGGCCACACUGGAACUGAGACACGGUCCAGACGCCUACGGGAGGCAGCAGUAGGGAAUCUUCCGCAAUGGGCGAAAGCCUGACGGAGCAACGCCGCGUGAGUGAUGAAGGUCUUCGGAUCGUAAAACUCUGUUAUUAGGGAAGAACAAAUGUGUAAGUAACUAUGCACGUCUUGACGGUACCUAAUCAGAAAGCCACGGCUAACUACGUG